Molecule: non-coding RNA, 400 nt
Organism: Pseudonaja textilis
Lineage: Eukaryota; Metazoa; Chordata; Lepidosauria; Squamata; Elapidae
Source: RefSeq, a predicted model, not a curated record
UUUCUCCAGCCGAUGAUAACUGGACAUUGGGGGUCACAUUGGAGACAUUAAAGGGACAUUACCAACUUUUGUGACUUUGUUGCUUUUGUGCCCGCCCCGGGUCAUCACAGCUUCUUUUGUGUGUAUCAUUUUAUGGGAAAUAAGUUUGUAUCUAUGAGCAAAGGUCUUUCCACAUUCUAUGCAUUUAAAUGGCUUGUCUCCUGUAUGGAUCCUCUUAUGGGAAAUAAGAUUACUUCUUUGAGCAAAGGUCUUUCCACACUCCAUGCAUUUAAAUGGUUUCUCUCCUGUGUGGAUCCUUUUGUGGCUUCUAAGGCCACUGCUCUGAGCAAAAGUCUUUCCACACUCCAUGCAUUUAUACGGCUUCUCCCCUGUGUGGAUCCUUUCAUGGGAAAUAAGAGUA